RNAcentral lists this unclassified non-coding RNA (507 nucleotides) under uncultured delta proteobacterium. RNAcentral's name for it is "partial 16S-23S ribosomal RNA intergenic spacer". The stretch from base 182 to 254 matches the Rfam family "tRNA". Lineage: Bacteria; Deltaproteobacteria. The record is from RNAcentral.
CCUCCUUUCUAAGGAGAAUCCCACUUUAUGUGGGAUAUGGUCGAACUCAUUUCCUUGUGAUCACGCAUACCUAUUUAUUUUUGGGCUUGUAGCUCAGGUGGUUAGAGCGCAUCCCUGAUAAGGAUGAGGUCCGUGGUUCGAGUCCACGCAGGCCCACUUGAUCUAUCGUCCCGAUAAUUUUGGGGCUGUAGCUCAGUUGGGAGAGCGCCUGAUUUGCAUUCAGGAGGUCGCAGGUUCGAUCCCUGUCAGCUCCACCAGAAAGAUUUUGUUUUUUGAAAAUUGGGAAUUGAUGUCGAUUCACAAAUGUGAAUCGUCUUCUGCAAACUGCGGAAGGCGGUAACUUCAUUUUGUGACACUGAAAUAAUAAAAAAGUGAAAAUAUUUCUUAUCGUUAGAUAAGAAAUAUUGAUCAUUCAAAUGAUCAAGAGCCUUUGGUAAAGCUACUAAGAGCGUAUGGAGGAUGCCUAGGCACAUGGAGGCGAUNAAGGACGUGGUAAGCUGCGAUAAG